UUUUUUUUUUUUUUUUUUUUGUUUUUUUUUUUUUUUUUUUUUUUUUUUUUUUUUUUUUUUUUUUUUUUUUUUUUUUUUUUUUUUUUUUUAGAUUUUGCACUUUAUUAGAACGUUGAUUUCUCCAUAUUGGAUUGGAUAAAUAAAUUUCUAUAGAACGGAUAUCGUAGAUUUUAAUGAAUGAAUAAUGAUACUAUUUGUU
RNAcentral lists this long non-coding RNA (199 nucleotides) under Nicotiana benthamiana. RNAcentral's name for it is "long non-coding RNA (NBEN_LNC037093)". The record is from RNAcentral. Lineage: Eukaryota; Viridiplantae; Streptophyta; Magnoliopsida; Solanales; Solanaceae.